RNAcentral lists this ribosomal RNA (551 nucleotides) under uncultured Acaulospora. Its description in RNAcentral is "SSU rRNA". It matches the Rfam family "Eukaryotic small subunit ribosomal RNA", at positions 548 to 1098 of the family's 1831-position model. Lineage: Eukaryota; Fungi; Glomeromycota; Glomeromycetes; Diversisporales; Acaulosporaceae. The record is from RNAcentral.
UUGGAGGGCAAGUCUGGUGCCAGCAGCCGCGGUAAUUCCAGCUCCAAUAGCGUAUAUUAAAGUUGUUGCAGUUAAAAAGCUCGUAGUUGAAUUUCGGGAUUCGUCGGUUGCUCGGGCUUCACUGUCCGCACUGACCUGAUUGGUUCCUACCUUCUGAAUAACCAGCAUGCUAUUAAGUUAGUGCGUUGGGGAAGCAGAGCUAUUACCUUGAAAAAAUUAGAGUGCUUAAAGCAGGCUUGUGCUUGAAUAGAUUGGCAUGGAAUAAUAAAAUAGGACGGCAUGAUUCUAUUUUGUUGGUUUCUAGGAUCACCGUAAUGAUUAAUAGGGAUAGUUGGGGGCAUUGGUAUUCAAUUGUCAGAGGUGAAAUUCUUGGAUUUAUUGAAGACUAACUUCUGCGAAAGCAUUUGCCAAGGAUGUUUUCAUUAAUCAAGAACGAAAGUUAGGGGAUCGAAGACGAUCAGAUACCGUCGUAGUCUUAACCAUAAACUAUGCCGACUAGGGAUCGGACGAUGUUAAUUUUUUAAUGACUCGUUCGGCGCCUUACGGGAAAC